GCGAGCUGAGUGGGGCGCCGGGGCGGUAGGAGGGCGCUGUUCGCUGAGCUGGAGUCCGGGCUCCGGUCCCCGCCACGGACCUUCAGAGGACAGCCCAUUUUUUCUUAUGAUAAAGACGGCAUUUGGCUCAUGAGCAAGGUGGCAAAAUCAUCAAGUGAGUCAGACGUGCAGCUCUGGGAAACAGAAGAGGAUGACAUGACAGAAGGUGAUUUAGGGUAUGGCCUCGGAAGGAAACCUGGUGGGAUUUAUGAAAUAGAAUUUUCACAUAGGUCUAGAAAAAGAUCAGAUGGAAAGAACUUUAGCCCUCCUCCAUUUCCGAGAAAGGGAGAAGAAAGAAAUGAAGCGAGUUUUCAGUAUUCCAAGCAUAAGAGCCAGCAAGAGACAUUCCCUCAAGUGUCCAGAAUUUCUAAUUACAGACGACAAAGUAGCACUGAUUCGAAUUCAGAAUUGUCAAAUGAAGAAUUAAGGCAAUGUCUUAAUGAAACUUUAGAGGAGGUAGAAAUGUUAAAAACUGAACUUGAGGCAUCUCAAAGACAACUCAGAGGUAAAGAGGAAGCAUUGAAAAUUCUUCAAAGCAUGGCAAUACUGGGCAAAGCCACAAGUCAUACGCAGGCAGUGCUUCAAAAAACUAUGGAACAAAACAGAUCCUUGGAGAAGGAAAUAAAUGCCUUGCAGUGGGAAAUAGAAUUUGAUCAUAAUAGAUUUAAAAAUAUAGAGGAAUCUUGGAUCCAAAAAUAUGACAGGCUAAACUGUGAAAAUGCAGUCCUCAAAGAGAAUUUGAAAGUGAAAACAGAAGAAAUUAAAAUGCUGAAGUCUGACAAUGCAGUUUUGAAUCAACGGUAUUUGGAGGCCCUCGCCAUGCUUGAUAUCAAACAGCAGAAGAUGGCUCAGGAAAACAUGUGCUGUGAUAAAAGUGGCUUUGCAGAGGCUUCAGGUCUUGAGUUGGAAAUUUUGCAGAAGAGUAAAGAAGAAGCUUACGUGAUGGCAGAUGCUUUCAGAAUUGCAUUUGAGCAACAAUUAAUGAGAAAAAAUGACCAGGCACUACAAUUGACACAACUGGAUAAAAUGCAUAAAAAAGCAACAAAAUGGAUGAAUUGGAAGCACCUUAAAGAGGAUGGAUUUCCAUCACCAAGGAGUAAGAAGACCUUCGGGCAGAGACUGUUGGGUAUGCUCCCUUCAGAAAACAUUUCUAAGAGGAUGGAAGACCAGGACAGUCCUCAAGAGGUCCUUAAGAUGCUCAUAGAUUUGCUUAAUGAUAAAGAAGAAGCUUUGGCUCAUCAAAGAAAAGUUAGCUACAUGCUUGCUCGGGCAUUGGAAGACAAAGACACUGCUUCAAAAGAGAAUAAAGAAAAAAAUCCUAUAAAAGAGAAUUUCCCUUUCAACAACCCCUGGCGUAAGACUUCAGAAUUCUCUGUUUUGGGUGAUCCUAUACAUUCAAGUGUCUGCAUUUUAAAUUCUGUGGGCUGCAUUUGUUCAAUCCAGCACUCUCAAAUAGAUCCAAACUAUAGAACUCUUAAAAGAACCCAUUCUUUGCCAUCAAGUAUCAUAUUUUAAAGACAAGCCAGUUGAAAUUGGAACUGAGAGUUGUUUAUAUCGAGAUACUUUGAAAAAUGAUUUUGUAAAUUUUGCUGCAUCUUGAGAAGUUGUAUGUUUCCUAGGUAUUUCUAAAUUUUAGGAGAAUCGCUUGAACCUGGGAGGCGGGGGUUGUGGUGAGCCGAGACUGUGUCAUUGCACUCCAGCCUGGGCGACAAGAGCGAAACUCUGUCUCAAAAAAAAAAAACAAAACAAAACAAACAAACAAACAAAAAAAAACACAUUACAGUGUUUGCCAACAUCCUAAAACAAAAAAUAAUGAUUUUUGGGAAAAACAAAAAAUUAUUUAACUAUUUUGAUUGACUAUAGGGAUCUUAGCUUGGCUAAAUCAACAAUAUAGCAAUGUAUCUUAAUGCUCUAAAAAGUAACAAUACCUAGGACUGACUGAAUAUUAAUUUCUGGAAUUCAUUUAUCUUGUUUUAUUUGCCUUGUUCAGUAUUUUUCAUUUACCAUAUGAAGUUUAGAAAUAACAAUUUCCUUAAGUUAACUUCGAUAAGACAGUUUUGAUGGUGGGACCUUGGCAGAAGUAUAUUGAGUCAUUGCCGGCUACGUUCAUGGCUUCUUGUCAGGGUAGUAACAUUUUGCAACCAAAUCUGCACAGAUUUGUAGCCAAGUCUACAAAGUGCUUAACAGCUGUUUUCAUUGCAUCCUGUGAGAUGGUUGUGAUGAUCCCAGGAAAUGGGGUCUCAGGAAUCUGAAGAAGCUGCCUGAGCCAAGGUGAUUUCUAGGAGUUUUUUUGUUUGUGGUAUGUGAAUUGGGGUGUGUGGGGGUGGGGUGUGUGUGUAGACAGGGUCCCACUGUGUUGCUCAGGCUGGUGCCAAACUCCUGGCCUCAAGGGAUCCUCCUGCCUCAGCCUCUCAGAGUGCUGGGAUUACAGGCGUAAACCACCACAACUCAAUAAAAAAGUUUUUAAAAAUUUACAAAGCUCAUAUUUGAUCCAGCUAGGAUUUUACCCUGUACAUUUGUAUUUCUUGUAGGCUGGCGCACAGAUAUCUUAAAUGGCUACUAAUUGCUGCUGUGUAUGAAAACAAAUGGCUAUCAAGGCCGGGUGCAGUGGCUCACAGAUCUGGUCUGAAUCUCAAGUCCAGACCAGUCCAGAGUUCAAGACCAGCCUGGGCAACAUGGUGAAACCCCAUCUAUACAAAAACUCGGCAAGGCAUGGUGGCAUGCACCUGUUGUCCCAGCUACUCAGGGGCUGAGGCAGGAGGAUGGCAUGAGCCCAGGAGCUUGAGGCUGCAGUGAGCUGUGAUUGUGCCACUGCACUCCAGCCUGAGUGACAGAGUGAGACCCCCAUCUCCAAAAGAAAAGGCUAUCAAUACAAAAGUUUUAUCUAAAUUACUGUACAGCUAUACAAUGGAAUACUCUACAAAAUGGAGAGAUCCAUAAGAUAAAGCAAAUGAAUAAAGCAAAAUGCAUGUGUUGA
Molecule: RNA transcript, 3016 nt
Organism: Pan troglodytes (chimpanzee)
Lineage: Eukaryota; Metazoa; Chordata; Mammalia; Primates; Hominidae
Gene: CCDC125
Gene name: coiled-coil domain containing 125
Exons: 12
Source: RefSeq, a predicted model, not a curated record